This 292-nucleotide ribosomal RNA is filed under the name uncultured bacterium. RNAcentral's name for it is "partial 16S ribosomal RNA". It matches the Rfam family "Bacterial small subunit ribosomal RNA", at positions 505 to 796 of the family's 1533-position model. The record is from RNAcentral.
GUGCCAGCCGCCGCGGUAAGACGAACCGAGCGAACGUUGUUCGGAAUCACUGGGCUUAAAGGGCGCGUAGGCGGGCAUUCAAGUCCGUGGUGAAAUACCUCAGCUCAACUGAGGAACUGCCUCGGAUACUGGGUGCCUCGAGGGUGGUAGGGGUAUGCGGAACUAUCGGUGGAGCGGUGAAAUGCGUUGAUAUCGAUAGGAACUCCGGUGGCGAAGGCGGCAUACUGGACCACUUCUGACGCUGAGGCGCGAAAGCCAGGGGAGCAAACGGGAUUAGAUACCCCUGUAGUCC